CUCGUCUGUCUGUUGGGCCGGAGGCAGGGCCUUUGUGAAGGCGGGUUGUGCUCAGAUCGCCUCUGGGCCCUUCCUCCAGCCCAGAGGCAGAUUCA
This 95-nucleotide microRNA precursor is filed under the name Tursiops truncatus (common bottlenose dolphin). Its description in RNAcentral is "microRNA 326 (ENSTTRG00000024197.1)". It matches the Rfam family "mir-326 microRNA precursor family". RNAcentral also lists the same sequence under 1 other name. The record is from Rfam by way of RNAcentral. Lineage: Eukaryota; Metazoa; Chordata; Mammalia; Artiodactyla; Delphinidae.